AGGAGAAACAUAGAUGAAGGCCGAAGUGAAGAAUGCAGACGCAAUGUCAACAGUCAACAACUUGCAGGUGAUUUUAAAACCAUGGGAUGUAGGGAGGGAGUGAAGAAACAUGAGAAGAAAGUCAAGACAGGGAAAGAAUGAGUGGCAAACACAACCAGAAUUGUAGAGAAUAUGAUACACUUACAAAAAAGAGUACCUGUGAGAAGAGUUAAAAAGACAUAUCAUCAUCAUCAUCAUCAUCAUCAUCAUCAUCAUCAUCAUUAGAUUCUUCAGUGGUAAUUCCCUAGGACAAAGAGGAAAUUCCACUUUUUUUAAAACUUUGAAUAUAUCACCAGCAUUAAGCUAUUUUAGAAAGCCAUGGUUGAGCCCUUAGUCUUAAAAAAGUGAUCCAUCUUAAACUGAGUCAAGUUCAUGCAUUUGACAGCAGUGGCUGGUCCCCCUGCUGGCCCCAUUUCAAGUGGACUAGUGAUUCAAAAGCAGAGACUCCUCAAGUUGAGAGAACUUUGAAACUUAUCUAUUCCAACCCUCUAACCAAUUCAAGAAUCCAUUGUAUAACAACCCUGGUAAAUGCUAAUGCCAUCUUCAUUUCAACUGCUCUAAGGAGAGGAGCCUUACCACCUCGAAUGGUUCCGAAUGACUCCUUGAUGGUGGAAACAUACAGUGGAAGGAGCCUGAAUCCUGAGAUUAAUGCUUGGAGGAGAACCACCUAGAAGUAUCACUGACCAGAAAUAUCCUCAUGAGACUGUGUGAAUAGAAAAUAAAUCUUUGUUGCAUUAUGGUUCUGAGAGUUUGAGGUUGUUUGUUAUUCCAGUUAGUCUAC
This is a long non-coding RNA of Canis lupus familiaris (dog), 820 nucleotides long. RefSeq lists it as uncharacterized. Lineage: Eukaryota; Metazoa; Chordata; Mammalia; Carnivora; Canidae. The record is from RefSeq and is a predicted model, not a curated record. The transcript has 3 exons.